GUCAGGUUUUUCUCUGUUUAAGUGGCUACAGCUGAAUAGCUCAGGCCAAACUUAAAGCUCACACUUGAGACUUGACGUGCUCAGCUCCUGCUAAAGAGGCUCCAGGGCAGCGCCUGCCUUUCCGGGAAGCUCCCCUGAGGGUCACCGAGGCUGCAGAGAACACCCGGUGAUGACUGCAUGGAUCUCCUUCAUCUGCUGGGAUUCAAGCUGUGUUGCUGGCCCUGCAUGUUUUUCUUCGGGAAGGCUGUGCAGUCUGCUCUGAGGAGACAGAUCAACCUAGCCCUUCUCCAGGACGAACUCCGAAAACCACAGGAAUUCACGUUCAAAGGAUGACGCAUCUCAGAAUCAGGUGGCCUUUAGUGAGCCAGUGGCUCGGAUUUAUGUGGUCAGAUUCUGAGCCGGCAGACACAAGGACAAGCCAGCGAGAGGUGUGGCAGGACUGGAGAUUCUGUGUAGGUCUGUAUGUGAUGGGCUUUAUGAAAUGCAUCUAUUUAAUGUACUCCAAGCCAAUUCUAAAUGAAGCAUGAUGCAGCCAAAUAUGAAAGGAGCUCAUUAUUGAUACAUUUUAUGGACCGAAUUGUGUUCUCUGGAAAAGGUAGUUGAAGUCCCUUAAUAUGUGACCUUAUUUGGAGGAAUAGGAUCUUAAAGAAGUAAUCAAGUUAAAAUCACGUCAUUCAAGUGGGCUCUAAUCCAAUAUAACUGAUGUCUUUAUUAGAAGGUUAAAUUUGAACAGAGACAGAUGUGCAUAGAGAGAAGGUUGUGUGAAGAGACACAGGAAGGAGACGGCCAUCUAUUUGGAACAGAGCUUCCCUUAUAGACCUCAGAAGGAACCAACUCUGAUACCUUGGUUUUGGGCUUCCAGACUCCAGAACUGUGAGACAAUAAAUUCCUGUUAUUUAAGGCUCACCAGUCUGCGGGGCUUUGCCAUGGCAUCCUAAGAAAGUGAGCGUGAAACUUAAUUCAUCAGUACGGAAAACAUCUUGGCAGUUUAACCACUAUUGUAAUACUCAUGUAUUGAUACGUGUUUCAGAAUUUUUCUGCUCUCUUCCUCAGUAUGUAUGUACAGCAAAAGCUUCAGAGAGAAACUCCAGGCCAUGCAAACUCAUGAACUAAACUCUGGGAGAGGUGCUGGUGAUGACCUGGAAGGGAAAGAUGAGUGUUUGGCACAGGACGGGACCGACCGAAAGUGGUUGUGUGGGAGGGUUUGAUGGGGUGGCUGCUGGUUGUUGUUGGGAGAGGAGGGGCAGGUGGGUUCUCUCCUCUGGCAAGGCCACGGGUGUGGUCUGGCUUGGAGCAGGAUCCAGAGCCAUUGAACUCUGAGGAACUAUGAAGCUCCUGCUGCAGGUAGGAAAGAAAGAGAAGGUGAGAAGAUAGGAGGAAGCUUCCCAAUGCCCUAGACAGGUUGCAGGUGAGGGCACAGACCCCUGUGCAGAUGUGCUGGAGCUGCAGUGCAGUGGGAUGCCCGGGAACAUGGGGGGCUCCUGACUUAGUGCUGAGAUGCCUGGAAGUCAAAGGCACGUGGAGAUGGCGAGCUGCACGAUGAGAAGUGUGAUCUCCUCCUUCCAAACUGCAGAGAG
Molecule: long non-coding RNA, 1577 nt
Filed under: Homo sapiens (human)
Lineage: Eukaryota; Metazoa; Chordata; Mammalia; Primates; Hominidae
Description: non-protein coding LINC01622:3
Source: RNAcentral